AACGCUGGCGGCGUGCCUAACACAUGCAAGUCGAGCGGUAACAGGUGUAGCAAUACAUGCUGACGAGCGGCGAACGGGUGAGUAAUGCUUCGGAAUCUGCCCAAUGGUGGGGAAUAACCAGCCGAAAGGUUGGCUAAUACCGCAUAAGUCCUACGGGGGAAAGCAGGGGAUCGCAAGACCUUGCGCCGAUGGAUGAGCCGAAGUCGGAUUAGCUAGUUGGUAGGGUAACGGCCUACCAAGGCGACGAUCCGUAGCUGGUCUGAGAGGACGACCAGCCACACUGGGACUGAGACACGGCCCAGACUCCUACGGGAGGCAGCAGUGGGGAAUAUUGGACAAUGGGGGAAACCCUGAUCCAGCGACGCCGCGUGUGUGAAGAAGGCCUGCGGGUUGUAAAGCACUUUUAGUGGGGAUGAAAAGCUCAGGGCUAACACCUCUGGGUCUUGACCUAACCCAAAGAAAAAGCACCGGCUAACUCUGUGCCAGCAGCCGCGGUAAUACAGAGGGUGCGAGCGUUAAUCGGAAUUACUGGGCGUAAAGCGUGCGUA
Molecule: ribosomal RNA, 548 nt
Filed under: uncultured bacterium
Lineage: Bacteria
Description: bacterial SSU rRNA
Rfam family: Bacterial small subunit ribosomal RNA
Source: RNAcentral